This 497-nucleotide ribosomal RNA is filed under the name uncultured bacterium. RNAcentral's name for it is "partial 16S ribosomal RNA". It matches the Rfam family "Bacterial small subunit ribosomal RNA", at positions 28 to 507 of the family's 1533-position model. The record is from RNAcentral.
GAUGAACGCUGGCGGCGUUCCUAAUACAUGCAAGUCGAGCGAACAGACGAGGAGCUUGCUCCUCUGACGUUAGCGGCGGACGGGUGAGUAACACGUGGAUAACCUACCUAUAAGACUGGGAUAACUUCGGGAAACCGGAACUAAUACCGGAUAAUAUAUUGAACCGCAUGGUUCAAUAGUGAAAGACGGUUUUGCUGUCACUUAUAGAUGGAUCCGCGCCGCAUUAGCUAGUUGGUAAGGUAACGGCUUACCAAGGCAACGAUGCGUAGCCGACCUGAGAGGGUGAUCGGCCACACUGGAACUGAGACACGGUCCAGACUCCUACGGGAGGCAGCAGUAGGGAAUCUUCCGCAAUGGGCGAAAGCCUGACGGAGCAACGCCGCGUGAGUGAUGAAGGUCUUCGGAUCGUAAAACUCUGUUAUUAGGGAAGAACAAAUGUGUAAGUAACUAUGCACGUCUUGACGGUACCUAAUCAGAAAGCCACGGCUAACUACGUG